This 198-nucleotide ribosomal RNA is filed under the name uncultured bacterium. Its description in RNAcentral is "partial 16S ribosomal RNA". It matches the Rfam family "Bacterial small subunit ribosomal RNA", at positions 328 to 539 of the family's 1533-position model. The record is from RNAcentral.
ACGCUCGACACCUACGAGAGGCAGCAGUGAGGGAUAUUGGUCAAUGGGGGAAACCCUGAACCAGCAACGCCGCGUGAGGGAUGACGGUCUUCGGAUUGUAAACCUCUGUCCUCUGUGAAGAUAAUGACGGUAGCAGAGGAGGAAGCUCCGGCUAACUACGUGCCAGCAGCCGCGGUAAUCUGAGCGGGCUGGCAAGGC